UAGAGUUUGAUCCUGGCUCAGAUUGAACGCUGGCGGCAUGCCUUACACAUGCAAGUCGAACGGUAACGCGGGGCAACCUGGCGACGAGUGGCGAACGGGUGAGUAAUGCAUCGGAACGUGCCCAGUAGUGGGGGAUAGCCCGGCGAAAGCCGGAUUAAUACCGCAUACGACCUACGGGUGAAAGCGGGGGACCGCAAGGCCUCGCGCUAUUGGAGCGGCCGAUGUCAGAUUAGGUAGUUGGUGGGGUAAAGGCCUACCAAGCCGACGAUCUGUAGCUGGUCUGAGAGGACGACCAGCCACACUGGGACUGAGACACGGCCCAGACUCCUACGGGAGGCAGCAGUGGGGAAUUUUGGACAAUGGGCGCAAGCCUGAUCCAGCCAUGCCGCGUGCGGGAAGAAGGCCUUCGGGUUGUAAACCGCUUUUGUCAGGGAAGAAACGCUCUGGGCUAAUACCCCGGGGUAAUGACGGUACCUGAAGAAUAAGCACCGGCUAACUACGUGCCAGCAGCCCCGGUCAA
RNAcentral lists this ribosomal RNA (520 nucleotides) under uncultured bacterium. RNAcentral describes it as "bacterial SSU rRNA". It matches the Rfam family "Bacterial small subunit ribosomal RNA", at positions 1 to 524 of the family's 1533-position model. The record is from RNAcentral.